RNAcentral lists this ribosomal RNA (492 nucleotides) under uncultured bacterium. Its description in RNAcentral is "partial 16S ribosomal RNA". It matches the Rfam family "Bacterial small subunit ribosomal RNA", at positions 29 to 507 of the family's 1533-position model. The record is from RNAcentral.
AGUGAACGCUGGCGGUAGGCCUAACACAUGCAAGUCGAACGGCAGCACAGUAAGAGCUUGCUCUUACGGGUGGCGAGUGGCGGACGGGUGAGGAAUACAUCGGAAUCUACUUUUUCGUGGGGGAUAACGUAGGGAAACUUACGCUAAUACCGCAUACGCCCUACGGGUGAAAGCAGGGGACCUUCGGCCCUUGCGCGAUUGAAUGAGCCGAUGUCGGAUUAGCUAGUUGGCGGGGUAAAGGCCCACCAAGGCGACGAUCCGUAGCUGGUCUGAGAGGAUGAUCAGCCACACUGGAACUGAGACACGGUCCAGACUCCUACGGGAGGCAGCAGUGGGGAAUAUUGGACAAUGGGCGCAAGCCUGAUCCAGCCAUACCGCGUGGGUGAAGAAGGCCUUCGGGUUGUAAAGCCCUUUUGUUGGGAAAGAAAAGCAGCAGGUUAAUACCCCGCUGUUCUGACGGUACCCAAAGAAUAAGCACCGGCUAACUUCGUG